GACGAACGCUGGCGGCGUGCCUAAUACAUGCAAGUAGAACGCUGAAGGAGGAGCUUGCUUCUCUGGAUGAGUUGCGAACGGGUGAGUAACGCGUAGGUAACCUGCCUGGUAGCGGGGGAUAACUAUUGGAAACGAUAGCUAAUACCGCAUAAGAGUAGAUGUUGCAUGACAUUUGCUUAAAAGGUGCAAUUGCAUCACUACCAGAUGGACCUGCGUUGUAUUAGCUAGUUGGUGAGGUAACGGCUCACCAAGGCGACGAUACAUAGCCGACCUGAGAGGGUGAUCCGCCACACUGGGACUGAGACACGGCCCAGACUCCUACGGGAGGCAGCAGUAGGGAAUCUUCGGCAAUGGACGGAAGUCUGACCGAGCAACGCCGCGUGAGUGAAGAAGGUUUUCGGAUCGUAAAGCUCUGUUGUAAGAGAAGAACGAGUGUGAGAGUGGAAAGUUCACACUGUGACGGUAUCUUACCAGAAAGGGACGGCUAACUACGUG
This 495-nucleotide ribosomal RNA is filed under the name uncultured bacterium. Its description in RNAcentral is "partial 16S ribosomal RNA". It matches the Rfam family "Bacterial small subunit ribosomal RNA", at positions 28 to 507 of the family's 1533-position model. The record is from RNAcentral.